CCAGAGAACUUAGCAGAGAUGCUUUGGUGCCUUCGGGAACUCUGAGACAGGUGCUGCAUGGCUGUCGUCAGCUCGUGUUGUGAAAUGUUGGGUUAAGUCCCGCAACGAGCGCAACCCUUAUCCUUUGUUGCCAGCGGCUCGGCCGGGAACUCAAAGGAGACUGCCGGUGAUAAACCGGAGGAAGGUGGGGAUGACGUCAAGUCAUCAUGGCCCUUACGGCCAGGGCUACACACGUGCUACAAUGGCGCAUACAAAGAGAAGCGACCUCGCGAGAGCAAGCGGACCUCACAAAGUGCGUCGUAGUCCGGAUUGGAGUCUGCAACUCGACUCCAUGAAGUCGGAAUCGCUAGUAAUCGUAGAUCAGAAUGCUACGGUGAAUACGUUCCCGGGCCUUGUACACACCGCCCGUCACACCAUGGGAGUGGGUUGCAAAAGAAGUGGGUAGCUUAACCUUCGGGAGGGCGCUUACCACUUUGUGAUUCAUGACUGGGGUGAAGUCGUAACAAGGUAAGCGUAGCGAG
RNAcentral lists this ribosomal RNA (521 nucleotides) under uncultured bacterium. Its description in RNAcentral is "bacterial SSU rRNA". It matches the Rfam family "Bacterial small subunit ribosomal RNA", at positions 988 to 1509 of the family's 1533-position model. The record is from RNAcentral.